RNAcentral lists this ribosomal RNA (293 nucleotides) under uncultured bacterium. RNAcentral's name for it is "partial 16S ribosomal RNA". It matches the Rfam family "Bacterial small subunit ribosomal RNA", at positions 505 to 796 of the family's 1533-position model. The record is from RNAcentral.
GUGUCAGCAGCCGCGGUAAUACAUAGAGUGCAAGCGUUAUCCGGAAUAAUUGGGCGUAAAGCGUCUGUAGGUGGUUUAAAAAGUCCAAUGUCAAAUACGAUGGCUCAACCAACGGCAGGCAUUGGAGUACUAUUAAACUAGAGUUUGGUAGAGGUAGAGGGAAUCCCUAGCGUAACAGUGAAAUGUGUAGAUUUUAGGGAGAACACCAGCGGCGAAGGCGCUCUACUGGGCCAAUACUGACACUGAGAGACGAAAGCUAAGGGAGCGAAAAGGAUUAGAUACCCUUGUAGUCC